AGAUUGAACGCUGGCGGCAUGCCUUACACAUGCAAGUCGAACGGCAGCACGGGAGCAAUCCUGGUGGCGAGUGGCGAACGGGUGAGUAAUAUAUCGGAACGUGCCCAGUCGUGGGGGAUAACGCAGCGAAAGCUGUGCUAAUACCGCAUACGAUCUAUGGAUGAAAGCGGGGGAUCGCAAGACCUCGCGCGAUUGGAGCGGCCGAUAUCAGAUUAGCUAGUUGGUGGGGUAAAAGCCUACCAAGGCGACGAUCUGUAGCUGGUCUGAGAGGACGACCAGCCACACUGGAACUGACGACACGGUCCAGACUCCGUACGGGAGGCAGCGAGUGGGGUAAUUUUGGGAACAAGUGGGCGACGAAGCCUGGAUCCGAGACAAUCGACCCGGCGUGCAGGAUGGAACGGUCCGUUUCGGUUAGUAAACGUUCGUCGUUUUUU
This 437-nucleotide ribosomal RNA is filed under the name uncultured soil bacterium. RNAcentral's name for it is "bacterial SSU rRNA". It matches the Rfam family "Bacterial small subunit ribosomal RNA", at positions 26 to 444 of the family's 1533-position model. The record is from RNAcentral.